GACUGCCGGUGUUAAACCGGAGGAAGGUGGGGAUGACGUCAAGUCCUCAUGGCCUUUAUGCCCAGGGCUGCACACGUGCUACAAUGCCGCGAACAAAGGGACGCAAACCCGCGAGGGGGAGCAAAUCCCAAAAAACGCGGCCCAGUUCAGAUCGAAGGCUGCAACUCGCCUUCGUGAAGUUGGAAUCGCUAGUAAUCGCGGGUCAGCAACACCGCGGUGAAUGUGUUCCUGAGCCUUGUACACACCGCCCGUCAAGCCACGAAAGGGGGGGACGGCCGAAGUCGCUGUAACAGGCGCCGACGCCGGACUCUCUGAUUGGGACUAAGUCGUAACAAGGUAACCGUAGGGGAACCUGCGGUUGGAUCACCUCCUUUCUAAGGA
RNAcentral lists this ribosomal RNA (381 nucleotides) under Gemmataceae bacterium. Its description in RNAcentral is "bacterial SSU rRNA". It matches the Rfam family "Bacterial small subunit ribosomal RNA", at positions 1147 to 1533 of the family's 1533-position model. Lineage: Bacteria; Pseudomonadati; Planctomycetota; Planctomycetia; Gemmatales; Gemmataceae. The record is from RNAcentral.